GGGGCUGUAGCUUAGUGGCAGAGCACUUGCCUCCAAGUAUGAGGCACUGGGUUUGAUCCUCAGCACCACA
This 70-nucleotide transfer RNA is filed under the name Marmota monax (woodchuck). RNAcentral's name for it is "tRNA.Undet". The record is from RNAcentral. Lineage: Eukaryota; Metazoa; Chordata; Mammalia; Rodentia; Sciuridae.